GACGAACGCUGGCGGCGUGCUUAACACAUGCAAGUCGAACGGUCAGGCCCUUCGGGGUACACGAGUGGCGAACGGGUGAGUAACACGUGGGUGAUCUGCCCUGCACUUCGGGAUACGCCUGGGAAACUGGGUCUAAUACCGGAUAGGACCACUGCCUGCAUGGGUGGCGGUGGAAAGCUUUUGCGGUGUGGGAUGGGGCCGCGGCCGAUCAGCUUGUUGGUGGGGUGAGGGCCUACCAAGGCGACGACGGGUAGCCGGCCUGAGAGGGUGACCGGCCGAACUGGGACGGAGAUACGGCCCAGACUCCUACGGGAGGCAGCAGUGGGGAAUAUUGCACAAUGGGCGCAAGCCUGAUGCAGCGACGCCGCGUGAGGGAUGACGGCCUUCGGGUUGUAAACCUCUUUCAGCACCGACGAAGCGCAAGUGACGGUAGGUGCAGAAGAAGGACCGGCCAACUACGUGCCAGCCGCCGCCGUAA
This 478-nucleotide ribosomal RNA is filed under the name uncultured bacterium. RNAcentral's name for it is "partial 16S ribosomal RNA". It matches the Rfam family "Bacterial small subunit ribosomal RNA", at positions 28 to 523 of the family's 1533-position model. The record is from RNAcentral.